GGAUGUGAGGGUGAUCUGACUGUGACAUCUGUCACCCACUGAUUGCCAGAGUUUAUUCAGCUGAUGUAGCUGCUAGGCGGGAGUUCCUCCCUCAGCCCUCUCUGUCUUCCCUCCCUGAAGCUGCGGGCUGAGGUCGAAGAGGACGACCACCCCCAUGGAGGAGGACACUUUCUUCAGCCAAGGGUAUACAAGUACCUGCAUUUCCAUGCUAGAAUCUCCAAACAAGCUCUCUCAAAACAAUAAAAAAAAAAAAAACGCUGUUU
Molecule: small nuclear RNA, 263 nt
Filed under: Chinchilla lanigera (long-tailed chinchilla)
Lineage: Eukaryota; Metazoa; Chordata; Mammalia; Rodentia; Chinchillidae
Description: 7SK RNA (ENSCLAG00000022155.1)
Rfam family: 7SK RNA
About the family: 7SK was discovered as an abundant small nuclear RNA in the mid-70s but a possible function has only recently been suggested. Two independent studies have found that 7SK RNA binds the CDK9/cyclin T complex (known as elongation factor P-TEFb).
Source: RNAcentral